UUCAAUCAGGUACGGUCGAGUGUACUUCAACUUUUUUCUGUGAAACUGUUGCCACCAAAAUGUACCUUGACCAUCUAUGGUGCCAUUUUCCCCUGUUAACAAAAGGAUCACAGUUGAUUAUUGAUAUCAAGAUUUAUCUAAAUCUAUAUACACAAUUUCUAUUGUAGAUUACUUAUUAUGAAGGUGGUCCACUGUCUACUAUGGACUUGUUCCGAAAAAUUGUCGAAAACGAAAGAUCUUUUCAUCUUUCGUUGUCCUUAACAAGUAGAAGCUCACAGUUCUUUCCAUCUUUAUGACCUAGGCGAUGACGAUGAUCUAAUCGAUGACAGUUUUCAUAAACAAUGAGCAAAUGAAUGAGUUGAGUUUUAAGACACAUAUAUGUGUUUUAUCUUGUUUUUGUCCAAUAGACAUCAAUUAGAUUACUGUCUUAGACAUUACAAGGACGACUGUGAACU
This 455-nucleotide long non-coding RNA is filed under the name Trifolium pratense (red clover). RNAcentral describes it as "long non-coding RNA (TPRA_LNC008834)". The record is from RNAcentral. Lineage: Eukaryota; Viridiplantae; Streptophyta; Magnoliopsida; Fabales; Fabaceae.